GACGAACGCUGGCGGCGUGCUUAACACAUGCAAGUCGAACGGAAAGGCGCUGCUCUUGUGGGGUGGUCGAGUGGCGAACGGGUGAGUAACACGUGAGUAACAUGCCCUUGACUUUGGGAUAACUUCAGGAAACUGGGGCUCAUACCGGAUAGGAUCUCCUGCUGCAUGGUGGGGGUUGGAAAGUUACGGCGGUUGGGGCUGGUCUGGCGGCUUAUCAGCUGGUUGGUGUGGUAGGGGCUGUCAAAGGCUUCGACGGGUAGCCGGCCUGAGAGGGUUGCCGGCGACCUUGGGACUGCGAUACGGCGCAGUCGCCUACGGGAGGCAGCAGGGGGGAGUAUUGCACAAUGGGCGCGCGCCAGAUGCAACGGCGCUGCGAUCGGGAUGACGUCCUUCGGGUUGUGAACCAAUUUCGCCUUUGACGAGGCGGGAGUGACGGUAAUGGGUCAAGAAGCACCGGCUAACUACGUG
This 468-nucleotide ribosomal RNA is filed under the name uncultured bacterium. RNAcentral describes it as "partial 16S ribosomal RNA". It matches the Rfam family "Bacterial small subunit ribosomal RNA", at positions 28 to 507 of the family's 1533-position model. The record is from RNAcentral.